This 449-nucleotide ribosomal RNA is filed under the name uncultured bacterium. Its description in RNAcentral is "bacterial SSU rRNA". It matches the Rfam family "Bacterial small subunit ribosomal RNA", at positions 355 to 796 of the family's 1533-position model. The record is from RNAcentral.
UGGGGAAUAUUGGACAAUGGGCGCAAGCCUGAUCCAGCAAUGCCGCGUGUGUGAAGAAGGCCUGCGGGUUGUAAAGCACUUUCAGUUGGGAGGAAGGUCUUACCGUUAAUAAACAAGAAAAUUGACGUUACCGACAGAAGAAGCACCGGCUAACUCUGUGCCAGCAGCCGCGGUAAUACAGAGGGUGCGAGCGUUAAUCGGAAUUACUGGGCGUAAAGGGUGCGUAGGUGGUCUUUUAAGUCAGAUGUGAAAACCCUGGGCUUAACCUAGGAAUGGCAUUUGAUACUGGAAGACUAGAGUGCGGAAGAGGAAAGUGGAAUUUCAGGUGUAGCGGUGAAAUGCGUAGAUAUCUGAAGGAACAUCAGUGGCGAAGGCGACUUUCUGGUCCGAUACUGACACUGAGGCACGAAAGCGUGGGGAGCAAACAGGAUUAGAUACCCCCGUAGUCC